This 468-nucleotide ribosomal RNA is filed under the name uncultured bacterium. RNAcentral describes it as "SSU rRNA". It matches the Rfam family "Bacterial small subunit ribosomal RNA", at positions 26 to 518 of the family's 1533-position model. The record is from RNAcentral.
AGGAUAAACGCUGGCGGCGUGCCUAACACAUGCAAGUCGAACGCGCUUUCGGGCUUCGGUGCGAGAGCGAGUGGCGGACGGGUGAGUAACACAUGGGUACCUGCCUUUCAGUGAGGGAUACCGGCGAGAAAUCGCCGACAAUACCGCAUGGGCUUGUGGGAACACAAGCAAAGUGGCGCAAGCCACGCUGGAAGAUGGGCCUGUGGCCGAUUAGCUAGUUGGGGGGUAACGGCCUCCCAAGGCGACGAUCGGUAGCUGGUCUGAGAGGACGAUCAGCCACACUGGGAUUGAGAACGGCCCAGACUCCUACGGGGGGCAGCAGUGAGGAAUUUUCCGCAAUGGACGAAAGUCUGACGGAGCAACGCCGCGUGCAGGAGGAAGGUUUUCGGAUCGUAAACUGCUUUUCUCGGGGACGAGCAAGGACGGUACCCGAGGAAGAAGCCCGGCUAACUACGCGCCAGCAGCCGC